GUGCCAGCAGGCGCGGUAAUACCGGCAGCCCAAGUGAUGGCCGAUCUUAUUGGGCCUAAAGCGUCCGUAGCUGGCUGCGCAAGUCCGUCGGGAAAUCCACUCGCUCAACGAGUGGGCGUCCGACGGAAACUGCACAGCUUGGGACCGGAAGGCUCGAAGGGUACGUUCGGGGUAGGAGUGAAAUCCCAUAAUCCCGGACGGACCACCGAUGGCGAAAGCACUUCGAGAAGACGGAUCCGACAGUGAGGGACGAAAGCCAGGGUCUCCAACCGGAUUAGAAACCCCAGUAGUCC
This 293-nucleotide ribosomal RNA is filed under the name uncultured bacterium. RNAcentral describes it as "partial 16S ribosomal RNA". It matches the Rfam family "Archaeal small subunit ribosomal RNA", at positions 455 to 747 of the family's 1478-position model. The record is from RNAcentral.